Molecule: ribosomal RNA, 386 nt
Filed under: uncultured Legionella sp.
Lineage: Bacteria; Pseudomonadati; Pseudomonadota; Gammaproteobacteria; Legionellales; Legionellaceae
Description: bacterial SSU rRNA
Rfam family: Bacterial small subunit ribosomal RNA
Source: RNAcentral
AGGGUUGAUAGGUUAAGAGCUGAGUUACUGGACGUUACCCACAGAAGAAGCACCGGCUAACUCCGUGCCAGCAGCCGCGGUAAUACGGAGGGUGCGAGCGUUAAUCGGAAUUACUGGGCGUAAAGCGUGCGUAGGUGGUUGAAUAAGUUAUCUGUGAAAUUCCCGGGCUCAACCUGGGACGGUCAGGUAAGACUGUUUGACUCGAGUAUGGGAGAGGGUAGUGGAAUUUCCGGUGUAGCGGUGAAAUGCGUAGAGAUCGGAAGGAACACCGGUGGCGAAGGCGGCUACCUGGCCUAAUACUGACACUGAGGCACGAAAGCGUGGGGAGCAAACAGGAUUAGAUACCCUGGUAGUCCACGCUGUAAACGAUGUCAACUAGCUGUUGG